This 371-nucleotide ribosomal RNA is filed under the name uncultured bacterium. RNAcentral describes it as "bacterial SSU rRNA". It matches the Rfam family "Bacterial small subunit ribosomal RNA", at positions 527 to 896 of the family's 1533-position model. The record is from RNAcentral.
GUAGGGGGCAAGCGUUGUCCGGAUUUAUUGGGCGUAAAGAGCGUGUAGGCGGCUAGGUAGGUGGGUUGUGAAAACUGGAGGCUCAACCUUCAGACGUCGACCCAAACCCCCUGGCUAGAGUCCGGAAGAGGAGAGUGGAAUUCCUGGUGUAGCGGUGAAAUGCGCAGAUAUCAGGAAGAACACCCGUGGCGAAGGCGGCUCUCUGGGACGGUACUGACGCUGAGACGCGAAAGCGUGGGGAGCGAACAGGAUUAGAUACCCUGGUAGUCCACGCCGUAAACGAUGGGUGCUAGGUGUGGGGGGUGUCGACUCCCUCCGUGCCGAAGCUAACGCAUUAAGCACCCCGCCUGGGGAGUACGGCCGCAAGGCUA